CCCGCACAAGCGGUGGAGUAUGUGGCUCAAUUCGAUGCAACGCGAAGAACCUUACCUGGCCUUGACAUGCAGGAGACAGGUGCUGAAAGGCACCCUUCCUUCGGGACUGCUGCACAGGUGCUGCAUGGCUGUCGUCAGCUCGUGUCGUGAGAUGUUGCGUUAAGUCGCGCAACGAGCGCAACCCCUGUCCUUAGUUGCCAUCAUUAAGUUGGGCACUCUAGGGAGACAAACCCUCUUUGAGGGUGGGAAGGUGGGGAUGACGUCAAGUCAGGAUGGCCCUUACGGCCAGGGCUGCACACGUACUACAAUGCCCGGUACAGAGGGAAGCAAUACCGCGAGGUGGAGCAAAUCCUCAAAACCGGGCCCAGUUCAGAUUGUAGUCUGCAACUCGACUACAUGAAGUUGGAAUCGCUAGUAAUGGCGCAUCAGCUACGGCGCCGUGAAUACGUUCCCGGGCCUU
RNAcentral lists this ribosomal RNA (460 nucleotides) under uncultured Opitutus sp. Its description in RNAcentral is "bacterial SSU rRNA". It matches the Rfam family "Bacterial small subunit ribosomal RNA", at positions 920 to 1382 of the family's 1533-position model. The record is from RNAcentral. Lineage: Bacteria; Pseudomonadati; Verrucomicrobiota; Opitutia; Opitutales; Opitutaceae.